Molecule: long non-coding RNA, 3677 nt
Organism: Homo sapiens (human)
Lineage: Eukaryota; Metazoa; Chordata; Mammalia; Primates; Hominidae
Source: Ensembl
AGGGGGAGCAGUGGGUAUUUUGAUGAAAGCCACCCCUGUCUACAGCUCAGAAGCAGACUCAAUGGUUUCCUUGUGAGAGGUCCGGCUCCCUGGCCUAGAAAUGGAGGCCUCACGGGCAGGAGGGUAGUGGUAUGUAGCUGUAGUGGUAUGUGCUCUCUCUCAAUGCUGAGCUGCAGCUCCCAGUCAGCCACUGGAUCAUGAGGGUAAAAUACGGAUACUUGACAUCUUCUUAAAGAACAUCAUGCCUGCUAAGCCAUCCAGUUUGGAUGCCCCAGUGCCUUCCACCAGCCAUUCUCAAGCCUCAUUAGAAGAGAGAGAUUGAUGACCCUGUAGCUGCAGCAUCCCAUCAUCCUGCAUUUUAGUUCAAUGCUUCAAACGUUCUUCAGGCCCAGUGUGCUUUCAGCUGUGUAUGUUAAUGGUGCAUCUCCUGCUGUUCCCAAUCUACUCAUCCUAGGAACCAACUCAGGUCAGGAGAAGCAAGGAAAGCCUUACAACCUGUUACUGACCGGAGGGGAUGAAGGAGACAGGGAAACUACAACACAUGGAAUGUGGUAUCCUGAAUGGGACCCUGGAACCAAAGAAUGACACUGGGGAAGAACUGCUGAAAUUCAAGUAAAAUGUGGAGUCUCGUUAGUGGCAAUGUACCAAGGUUGGAUUCUGAGUUAUAAUAACGUACCAUAAUAAUGUAAGAUGUUAUCAGUAGAGGAAAGGGGAUGAGGAGUAUAUGUCAAUUCUCUGUACUAACUUUGCAAAUUUGCUAGAAAUCUAAAACUAUUCUAAAAUGUUACAAAGUUUAUUUACAGAAGAAGGCUGUUAAGGAUUUCAAUAAUUAGUCAUAUAGCAUUAGGUAUAUCUCCCAGAGUGUGAUGUUCCCCUUCCUGUGUCCAUGUGAUCUCAUUGUUCAAUUCCCACCUAUGAGUGAGAACAUGCAGUGUUUGGUUUAUUGUCCUUGCAAUAGUUUACUGAGAAUGAUGAUUUCCAGUUUCAUCCAUGUCCCAACAAAGGACAUGAACUCAUCAUUUUUUAUGGCUGCAUAGUAUUCCAUGGUGUAUAUGUGCCACAUUUUCUUAAUCCAGUCUAUCAUUGUUGGACAUUUGGGUUGGUGCCAAGUCUUUGCUAUUGUGAAUAGUGCCACAAUAAACAUACGUGUGCAUGUGUCUUUAUAGCAGCAUGAUUUAUAGUCCUUUGGGUAUAUACCCAGUAAUGGGAUGGCUGGGUCAAACGGUAUUUCUAGUUCUAGAUCCCUGAGGAAUCGCCACACUGACUUCCACAAUGGUUGAACUAGUUGACAGUCCCACCAACAGUGUAAAAGUGUUCCUAUUUCUCCACAUCCUCUCCAACACCUGUUGUUUCAUGACUUUUGAAUGAUUGCCAUUCUAACUGGUGUGAGAUGGUAUCUCAUUGUGGUUUUGAUUUGCAUUUCUCUGAUGGCCAGUGGUGAUGAGCAUUUUUUCAUGUGUUUUUUGGCUGCAUAAAUGUCUUCUUUUGAGAAGUGUCUGUUCAUAUCCUUCGCCCACUUUUUGAUGGGGUUGUUUGUUUUUUUCUUGUAAAUUUGUUUGAGUUCAUUGUAGAUUCUGGAUAUUAGCCCUUUGUCAGAUGAGUAGGUUGCAAAAAUUUUCUCCCAUUCUGUAGGUUGCCUGUUCACUCUGAUGGUAGUUUCUUUUGCUGUGCAGAAGCUCUUUAGUUUAAUUAGAUCCCAUUUGUCAAUUUUGGCUUUUGUUGCCAUUGCUUUUGGUGUUUUAGACAUGAAGUCCUUGCCCAUGCCUGUGUCCUGAAUGGUAUUGCCUAGGUUUUCUUCUAGGGUUUUUAUGGUUUUAGGUCUAACAUGUAAGUCUUUAAUCCAUCUUGAAUUGAUUUUUGUAUAAGGCGUAAGGAAGGGAUCCAGUUUCAGCUUUCAACAUAUGGCUAGCCAGUUUUCCCAGCACCAUUUAUUAAAUAGGGAAUCCUUUCCCCAUUACUUGUUUUUCUCAGGUUUAUCAAAGAUCAGAUAGUUGUAGAUAUGUGGCCUUAUUUCUGAGGGCUCUGUUCUGUUCCAUUGAUCUAUAUCUCUGUUUUGGUACCAGUACCAUGCUGUUUUGGUUACUGUAGCCUCGUAGUAUAGUUUGAAGUCAGGUAGUGUGAUGCCUCCAGCUUUGUUCUUUUGGCUUAGGAUUGACUUGGCGAUGUGGGCUCUUUUUUGGUUCCAUAUGAACUUUAAAGUAGUUUUUUCCAAUUCUGUGAAGAAAGGCAUUGGUAGCUUGAUGGGGAUGGCAUUGAAUCUAUAAAUUACCUUGGGCAGUAUGGCCAUUUUCACCAUAUUGAUUCUUCCUACCCAUGAGCAUGGAAUGUUCUUCCAUUUGUUUGUAUCCUCUUUUAUUUCAUUGAGCAGUGGUUUGUAGUUCUCCUUGAAGAGGUCCUUCAGGUCCCUUGUAAGUUGGAUUCCUAGGUAUUUUAUUCUCUUUGAAGCAAUUGUGAAUGGGAAUUCACUCAUGAUUUGGCUCUCUGUUUGUCUGUUAUUGGUGUCUAAGAAUGCUUGUGAUUUUUGUACAUUGAUUUUGUAUCCUGAGACUUUGCUGAAGUUGCUUAUCAGCUUAAGGAGAUUUUGGGCUGAGACAAUGGGGUUUUCUAGAUAUACAGUCAUGUCAUCUGCAAACAGGGACAAUUUGACUUCCUCUUUUCCUAAUUGAAUACCCUUUAUUUCCUUCUCCUGCCUAAUUGCCCUGGCCAGAACUUCCAACACUAUGUUGAAUAGGAGUGGUGAGAGAGGGCAUCCCUGUCUUGUGCCAGUUUUCAAAGGGAAUGCUUCCAGUUUUUGCCCAUUCAAUGUGAUAUUGGCUGUGGGUUUGUCAUAGAUAGCUCUUAUGAUUUUGAGAUACGUCCCAUCAAUACCUAAUUUAUUGAGAGUUUUUAGCAUGAAGCGUUGUUGAAUUUUGUCAAAGGCCUUUUCUGCAUCUAUUGAGAUAAUCAUGUGGUUUUUGUCUUUGGUUCUGUUUAUAUGCUGGAUUACAUUUAUUGAUUUGUGUAUAUUGAACCAGCCUUGUAUCCCAGGGAUGAAGCCCACUUGAUCAUGGUGGAUAAGCUUUUUGAUGUGCUGCUGGAUUCAGUUUGCCAGUAUUUUAUUGAGGAUUUUUGCAUCAAUGUUCAUCAAGGAUAUUGGUCUGAAAUUCUCUUUUUUGGUUGUGUCUCUGCCCGGCUUUGGUAUCAGGAUGAUGCUGGCCUCAUCAAAUGAGUUAGGGAGGAUUCCCUCUUUUUCUAUUGAUUGGAAUAGUUUCAGAAGGAAUGGUACCAGUUCCUCCUUGUACCUCUGGUAGAAUUCGGCUGUGAAUCCAUCUGGUCCUGGACUCUUUUUGGUUGGUAAGCUAUUGAUUAUUGCCACAAUUUCAGCUCCUGAUAUUGGUCUAUUCAGAGAUUCAACUUCUUCCUGGUUUAGUCUUGGGAGAGUAUAUGUGUCGAGGAAUUUAUCCAUUUCUUCUAGAUUUUCUAGUUUAUUUGCAUAGAGGUGUUUGUAGUAUUCUCUGAUGGUAGUUUGUAUUUCUGUGGGAUCGGUGGUGAUAUGCCCUUUAUCAUUUUUUAUUGCAUCUAUUUGAUUCUUCUCUCUUUUUUUCUUUAUUAGUCUUGCUAGCAUUCUAUUAACUUUGUUGAUCCUUUCAAAAAACCAUCUCCUGGAUUCAUUAAUUUUUUGAAGGGUUUUUUGUGUC